GUGGGGAAUAUUGGACAAUGGGCGCAAGCCUGAUCCAGCCAUGCCGCGUGAGUGAUGAAGGCCCUAGGGUUGUAAAGCUCUUUCACCGGUGAAGAUAAUGACGGUAACCGGAGAAGAAGCCCCGGCUAACUUCGUGCCAGCAGCCGCGGUAAUACGAAGGGGGCUAGCGUUGUUCGGAAUUACUGGGCGUAAAGCGCACGUAGGCGGGUAUUUAAGUCAGGGGUGAAAUCCCGGAGCUCAACUCCGGAACUGCCUUUGAUACUGGGUACCUAGAGUAUGGAAGAGGUAAGUGGAAUUCCGAGUGUAGAGGUGAAAUUCGUAGAUAUUCGGAGGAACACCAGUGGCGAAGGCGGCUUACUGGUCCAUUACUGACGCUGAGGUGCGAAAGCGUGGGGAGCAAACAGGAUUAGAUACCCUUGUAGUCC
This 425-nucleotide ribosomal RNA is filed under the name uncultured bacterium. RNAcentral describes it as "bacterial SSU rRNA". It matches the Rfam family "Bacterial small subunit ribosomal RNA", at positions 354 to 796 of the family's 1533-position model. The record is from RNAcentral.